UUGGAUGAGGAGAAGUGGCUUAAUAUGCUUGGCACGUUCGUCAAGGACUGGUUUAGAUAUGAGUCACAUUUUGUUCAUGGUAGAGAUUCUCUUGUUGACAUUUUAAAAGAGCGUGGAUUACUAUCUGAGUCCGAUGCUGUUCAACCACUAAUAGGUAAGAAAUCAUGAGUCAAGUUACUGAACAAUCCGUACGUUUCCAGACCGCUUUGG
RNAcentral lists this ribosomal RNA (210 nucleotides) under uncultured prokaryote. RNAcentral's name for it is "partial 16S ribosomal RNA". The record is from RNAcentral.